GCGGUAAUACAGAGGGUGCAAGCGUUAAUCGGAAUUACUGGGCGUAAAGCGAGCGUAGGUGGCUUGAUAAGUCAGAUGUGAAAUCCCCGGGCUUAACCUGGGAACUGCAUCUGAUACUGUUAAGCUAGAGUAGGUGAGAGGGAAGUAGAAUUCCAGGUGUAGCGGUGAAAUGCGUAGAGAUCUGGAGGAAUACCGAUGGCGAAGGCAGCUUCCUGGCAUCAUACUGACACUGAGGCUCGAAAGCGUGGGUAGCAAACAGGAUUAGAUACCCUGGUAGUCCACGCCGUAAACGAUGUCUACUAGUCGUUGGGGAACUUGAUUCCUUAGUGACGCAGCUAACGCAAUAAGUAGACCGCCUGGGGAGUACGGCCGCAAGGUUAAAACUCAAAUGAAUUGACGGGGGCCCGCACAAGCGGUGGAGCAUGUGGUUUAAUUCGAUGCAACGCGAAGAACCUUACCUGGUCUUGACAUAUCUAGAAUCCUGCAGAGAUGCGGGAGUGCCUUCGGGAAUUAGAAUACAGGUGCUGCAUGGCUGUCGUCAGCUCGUGUCGUGAGAUGUUGGGUUAAGUCCCGCAACGAGCGCAACCCUUGUCCUUAGUUACCAGCGGGUUAAGCCGGGAACUCUAAGGAUACUGCCAGUGACAAACUGGAGGAAGGCGGGGACGACGUCAAGUCAUCAUGGCCCUUACGACCAGGGCUACACACGUGCUACAAUGGUAGGUACAGAGGGCAGCUACACAGCGAUGUGAUGCGAAUCUCAAAAAGCCUAUCGUAGUCCAGAUUGGAGUCUGCAACUCGACUCCAUGAAGUAGGAAUCGCUAGUAAUCGCGGAUCAGAAUGCCGCGGUGAAUACGUUCCCGGGCCUUGUACACACCGCCCGUCACACCAUGGGAGUUGAUUGCACCAGAAG
RNAcentral lists this ribosomal RNA (910 nucleotides) under Psychrobacter sp. RNAcentral's name for it is "bacterial SSU rRNA". It matches the Rfam family "Bacterial small subunit ribosomal RNA", at positions 517 to 1426 of the family's 1533-position model. Lineage: Bacteria; Pseudomonadati; Pseudomonadota; Gammaproteobacteria; Moraxellales; Moraxellaceae. The record is from RNAcentral.